This 500-nucleotide unclassified non-coding RNA is filed under the name uncultured Glomus. Its description in RNAcentral is "SSU rRNA". It matches the Rfam family "Eukaryotic small subunit ribosomal RNA", at positions 591 to 1092 of the family's 1831-position model. Lineage: Eukaryota; Fungi; Glomeromycota; Glomeromycetes; Glomerales; Glomeraceae. The record is from RNAcentral.
CCAAUAGCGUAUAUUAAAGUUGUUGCAGUUAAAAAGCUCGUAGUUGAAUUUCGGGGUUAGCAGGUCGGUCGUGCCAUUGGUAUGAACUGGUCUCGCUGAUCCCUCCCUCUUGACGAACUGUGAUGCCAUUAAUUUGGUGUCUCAGGGAAUCAGGACUGUUACUUUGAAAAAAUUAGAGUGUUUAAAGCAGGCUUUAGCUUGAAUACAUUAGCAUGGAAUAAUGAAAUAGGACGUUUGAUCCUAUUUUGUUGGUUUCUAGGAUUGACGUAAUGAUUAAUAGGGAUAGUUGGGGGCAUUAGUAUUCAAUUGUCAGAGGUGAAAUUCUUGGAUUUAUUGAAGACUAACUACUGCGAAAGCAUUUGCCAAGGAUGUUUUCAUUAAUCAAGAACGAAAGUUAGGGGAUCGAAGACGAUCAGAUACCGUCGUAGUCUUAACCAUAAACUAUGCCGACUAGGGAUCGGAUGAUGUUAAUUUUUUAAUGACUCAUUCGGCGCCUUACG